This is a long non-coding RNA of Lontra canadensis (Northern American river otter), 750 nucleotides long. RefSeq lists it as uncharacterized. The transcript has 3 exons. NCBI's taxonomy places the organism in Eukaryota, Metazoa, Chordata, Mammalia, Carnivora, Mustelidae. The record is from RefSeq and is a predicted model, not a curated record.
GUCCCAGUGACUUUUGGAGUUUUGUCGUCCAUGGAUUGGGUAACAUUUGAAUAAUGACAUUUUCCUCGCUGGGCUAUUGGGGAGUUAAGUGAGAUGAUGUAUGCCCGAAAACACCCAAGUCACUGCAGAAAAUGGAGGGAGUGCAGCUUGAACGAGCUGGUUCUUUUCCUAAAUCCUUCAUCCUGGGACAUGCAAGCCAGCUUCUCCUGCCUCGAUGGGGAAGCCCUGGAUCUCUGGGAGCCUAUUAGCUGAGCCAAGUGGAGAGUUAAACAUCCAAACUGACAAGGGGGAGCAGAGCUAUUUCAGAGCACCCCACUACCCCAGCAGAUGGUUCUGGGCCAGAUGGCUCCAGAGCAGGGGGCAAGGGGGAGGCAGCCAGGUGUUUAUUGUGGCAGCAGAGAUGUGAAAGGAAGAGUUCACUUGUCCACCUCCCUGCUCUUCCUCGGAUUUCUGCUCCAGAGGGGCCACUGCCCAGCCCUGACAGAUGUGCAGUCUGGGAAGGUUUCCAGGUGCAGUGUUGGAGACACCCGAGCUUUAAUAAUCUCCAAUGCCGAAUUAUUCACUCUGUGACCCUGUCAUUUGGAGAAUACAUUGGACGCUGGCGGAUUCACCAUACAGUAGCUCAUUAGUUUUUGAACUCUUCAAAGAGAACCAAACAGCCAUCAAAUUCAAACCUGUCUGCUCCCACAAGAAACUUUCUUCCCUUGGAGCUGACAGAGAGCCCAAAGAGAGGGCGGAUCCCAGGGCCGG